RNAcentral lists this long non-coding RNA (461 nucleotides) under Scleropages formosus (Asian bonytongue). RNAcentral describes it as "lncRNA (ENSSFOG00015024893.1)". The record is from RNAcentral. Lineage: Eukaryota; Metazoa; Chordata; Actinopteri; Osteoglossiformes; Osteoglossidae.
CCAAACACUUUCCUUUGGCUUGCUAAUCACACUUUUCAUUUUUUUCCCCCCUCUCUCUUCCUCCCCUAUUCUUUGUGUGCUUCAGAGUUGGUAUUUAAGCAACAGCAAAUCAAAGACUCCUUCCCUUUGCACAAAGAUGCCUCCUUCACUUGAAAAGAGUAAAGCACAAAUGAUGUAGCACAAUUUGUAUUUCUUUUUCCCCCCUUUUUUUCUCGGGGGUGGGGGGGGAUCGUCUUCACUUUAUUAAGGAAAAUCAAAAUAGCUGCCUUUUAAAAAGCAAAAGUGGAUGCACUGUCCGCACUUUUUCAGAUCGUCAUGAAAAAAGAAUAAUUAGCCCACGCGAAAAGAGGAGAAUCGGUGACGUACAGAUGAGCAACUUUACAAUGCUUUCAUACAGAGGGUAUUCGUGCUGUACGAAUACAGGGUGGAAAUAUGUUCCAAAGCAAAACUACGAAACAUGA